Molecule: long non-coding RNA, 1801 nt
Organism: Aphis gossypii (cotton aphid)
Lineage: Eukaryota; Metazoa; Arthropoda; Insecta; Hemiptera; Aphididae
Exons: 3
Source: RefSeq, a predicted model, not a curated record
AUCAAUAUUUAAGCUCGGCCUUUCUGUUUGUUUGAAAAAUCUUUGUUUAUUAUAUACGAGUGUCUAUAGGUAAGUAUAAAUUAUUAACGAUGUAAAAUAUAAUAUAAAUUUGAUUAAUCAUAACAAUUAUUGAGCCCUGACUAUAUAUAGUGACGUUUUUAUAGUUAAGUUUUUACAAUACCUUCUGUUGCGAGACUGAGUUUGUAACGAAAACGGUAAUUAUGAGUCGACUUUACAUUUUCUCGUUCAUAAAAAAUAUCGUAAUUAAUAAUUAUAUAUAUUAUUGUUUUUAGAAUUUUUCAAGUAUAUGCAAGGUCCGGUCCGACUGUGCAAAAACCAAACAUAAUUAUAUUAAUGUAAUAUUAUAAUACAUUGCAAAUGAUAGGCCAUCGAACUAAGUCGUACACAUAUUUCGUCUGUGGCAUGACGAGUUGUGCAAUUAUUAAGAAAACUUCAAAAAACGACUAGCUCAAAGAAGAAAUUAAUAAUGCAGCUAGAGGAGUUCACACAGUAAAUAAUAAUACUUGUAAUGCAUUGCAGCGGCGCGAAUGAAGGUACGUGUAGUUGGACAAAAAUAGAAAAAAAUAUUUACCAAUUAUCGAUCAAAGAGACCCAAGUACAAUAUUUUUUAAACACAUUAAUUCUUCUAAACAAAGAAAAACAACACCCCAUGACUUCAACGCACGACUCGAACAGUCGAACACGACGCAGGGUUGUAUCCAGUAAAAAAAAAUAUAAUAACUUGGGUUAUGUAUGGUACACGAUGGAUAAUAUAUAACACCGAAAUAACGUUAAAACGCGCGAGUGUAAUAUUAUAGUGGAGAGCGAUGGAAACUUCAUUUUUUUUCCAAACACGAAUUACCCUGUACCACUCUGUAUACACAAUAUAUACACACGCAUCGUGAAGGUACCUAUAUAUACGAUGAACUGUAACUGCAAUUAUUGCAGACUGCUAUUAAUUAUUAUUAUUUAUUAUGUAUUCAUAUUAUGUAUGUAUGCGAGUAUAUAUAGAAUCGUAGAGGAAGUUCUCCGCGGAAGUGUAGACGUCUGCAGCUUGAUAUUAAAUGCAUAAAAAAAAUUCCUAGAAUUAACGAUCCGGACAUAGUAAGACGAUUUAUAUAUAAUAUAUAUAUAGUAUACAUGGCGUUUAAUGUAUGUGUAUAAUAUGUUCGUAUUGUCGAGUCCCGCUAAGUGUAUACCUAUUAUAUUAGAUCAUUACAUCGUUUAAUUCGGUAAAACGCGUGUUUAGUUGUAGCACACAUGUAUCGUUUAUAUAAUCCGUUUAAGUGUAUAUAGAUAUACUUCGGUUUACUUAGAAACUCGUCUAUUCGACUUUCCGUAAAUCGAUGCACAUACUAUUGCAUGUGUAUUAAGUGUAAUUUUAUUUUAUAUAAAGUCUUCCACAGUUAAUAAUAUAAUAUAAUAUAUAUAUAUAUAUAGAACAAAGUUCAAUAUUACGACACAAAAAUAUAUAUUUCAAAUGCGACUCUUAAAAAUUCAUAAAUGAGUGCAUCAAAUUAUUGACUUGUCGCAUUAAUAAAUAAUGCACUCAAUUACUAAAUUUAUCGAGCUAAGUCCGAAAGGGUAUCAUAAUUUUUGGGAAAUUUGUCAGCUAUUUACUAUUAAUCUGUAAAAUGCAUCAUUAUGAAAUGAAUAUAAUAAAUUUAUAUCGUUAUUACAUUAUACAAGAGUUAAACUCCUUAGUUUAUGUCUAGUGUGUUUUUUUUUAAUAUUAUUGAAACCAAAAUUACUUAUAUUAUUUAUAAGGUACCUUUAAUUUUUUUUUCAGUUUUGAAUCGAC